UGGAAAAGAAGUCCUCCGUGAGUUUCAUUUGUUCGAUCACUUCUGCCAUCACCGAUACAUACAUUGAAACCAAAAAAGAUACUGCUAUGGACGAUAAUUACCAACAAACGCAACAGACGACCGCUUAAAAUUCUGGAAGAAUUUUAUCGAUUGGAAAAUAUACGUAUGUUGAAUGCAGUUUACGUGGUACAUGAUGUGAGCUACUAACUCGAUAAGAACCUCUUGGUUGAAACGGCCGUGCCUGUAUUAUACGCGAGAGAAAAGAAAAGGAAUGGCUGUAUGUACCUAUGUACAAAUUAAGUAUAGUUGUCUUAUCGCAUCGCUACUUGCCACCGUUGCAAACGAUCUUCCUUAAACCGAACCGAGUGCGUGUAAACGAGGGAAGAUGAAGUAUGUCGGGCCUGGAGUUUCUCUCGCUUCGUCCGCUUGUCACAGAGACAAAAGAAGAAAGACGGGAUUUGAAAAGUAGUCCGUCAAAGCUACUCGUUAUCGAGCCACUUCGAGACAGAGCUGUCGUUACUCACUGAGGAUCGUGACGUGUUGCAAGCGUGCAAGAAGCAUCGAUUCAAAUGCGGAUUCGAAAAAGUCAUACGGCAUCGCGUGUUCACGCUUGGACACGGCCUUGACCUUGCCUUUUUGUUGGUUGGCACAGUUUUAUUCGAGGAUAAAUGACGCGACUAGUAUGCGCCAUCGUUUCAUGCUGGCCAAGCAUUAUAGCGCGCAACUUCCGAAUUGCGCAAAUUGUUAAUGCGAUGACGGGAUGAUAAUUUCGAAGAACUAUUCUUUGAGAACUUUAAACUAAACUUUAAUGAUUAAAGGAGCUAAUAAUAGAUUAGAACAGCAGGCUGGGUAUGAUCAAAUUUUUAUUAUAAAACUUGACCAUCAAAUAGUAUCGUUGGGUCGUUGAUGACUGUAGUAAUUUAUGUUAGAUCACAAAUUUAAGACGUUUGAUCUUAUUUUAUAUUUUAUACAUUCUCUGCGAUUGAUUUUAAAUCUACGUAAUUUAAUUGUAAAUUACAGUUCCCAAUUAGUUAAUCCAUCCGUUGGAAAGAAUGUUAUAAAAAUUGCCUUUCAAUCUCCUUGUUUGGGAUAAACGAGUGCGCGAGUACAGCGACGAGUACGCGACGCACAUUGCGAAUUCACAAACGUUAUGUCAGACGAGAGAGUCUUCGCGAUCGCAGAUAAGAAAUCGACGAUCCUCCCGAUAACGUUGAACGCUUACGACAUCGAAAUUCCAACGGAAUGUCGCAAGAACGAAUCUCUUUGUCGAUAUCGCGAUAAGAUUGCAAGAUCGACACCGUGCGUUGAUCAUGGGAACUCAACCUUGGCCUUGACUCCGCUGCACCUUGCACAUCGGUACCGGAAUUGAGGUGGCGUGGCCAGUAGUCGUAACACCGGCAGUCUCGCCAGCCGUCGACGAGCAACAAACAAAGCUCUUUUUAGAUCGAUAACUCGCUGGCUCGAGAGUGAAAGGCGAAAGAGAAAGAGAUGAAUCGACGCAACGCCGACAGAGUUCCUUUGCAAUUCACCAUUUUCUGCUCACCUUCAAAUAUUUGGAGAUUGUCUGUCGACGAAAAGGGCACACGUGUAACAUGUAUCCAGUGUUUUGAAUGUGUGUGUGAAGAAAGUACUGAAACCGCAACGUAAAUACAUAUGGAUAUAUUUAUUAUACAAUUAUAUCAUCUAUGUGAAGCUCCAGUAACGAGAAAUCGCGAUUUAUGUAUUAUCUUUUAGAAAAAAGUUCGAAAUGGGAACAUUGCAAAAAAGGAAGAAGAGAAAGAAUUAUUUGUUGUACAUCAAAAUGAUAUUGAUGGAUAAAAGAAAUAAUAAAAAUCCACGUGAUCCAGCGUUGAAGGGUACCGUGAAUAGAAAAGGAGAGUGAUUAAACUAGGUUCCCUCGAGGAAUAGUAGUCAGCACUUGAAACGAAGCAUUUAAUGUGAACACACCAAAAUGAAAGAGGGAAAUGAAAAAAUAUGAUCAGGCACAAUGAAAGCGAACUAUAUAUAGUAAUACUGACAAUAAGGAACAAAAUGUGGAAUGCAACAAGAAUGAACGAAAAGGAAACGUCAAAAUCAGGAAGAUUAGCUGAGAUGCCGAUUACACUUGAUAAGACUGAUAAUACAGAUGAUACUGAUAUCACUGAAGCUGGUCUCUCCGAUUCGUCGUGUAUAUCGAUCGCUACUGUGACGUCACACCGACGUCAGCCGAAUGAAUUCGGUAGAGAUCGGCUUCAAGACUUCCGAUGCCCUGAGGCCUCGGCGCAUAACUUGCCGAUUUCGUAGGUCGCUACAAUGCCGCGACAACGUGCGCAGGAAGCAAUUUACAAGCGGAGAUAGUAUCGUAAAUAACUUAUAACGGAACCUAAAGACGUUUCGUACGUGUAUAAAGAAACCCAGCUCGUCCAUGGAAGAUACAUACGUGUACUCACGAAGAAUUAAAUCAACGUUCAUUCUUCGAACUGAUCGUGUCCCAAGCUUAGGAAGCUUAGAAAGCUAACGUGGACAUUUUCCAAGGCCUUUAGGUUGCCAAACGAUAAUUUAAAGAUGGCAAAUGCGUGCAGGAUUUCCUGAAGUUUUUUUGUGUAAACACAAGCCGAGCAAAUUUAAAAGGAAAUGGCACGCACCUUUAAGGAUUCGGGCAAGUAGCCAGUAAGGAAGUCCAAGAGUUGAAACAGCUCUUUCUCAGCGAGCAGACGAAAGUUCCGGCCUCGUUCCGUCGCUUCAGGGCACUCCAUGCUGAAACUAAUUACCAAGAGAUGAUUGUAAAACAAAUUCUUGUGAGAGGAGAAUUUCAGAAGAAUUCAAGGACAAACAAAUUUCUCAUGAGAUACUUAAGGAGAAUUUAAUUUAACUUCUAAAGAAAGAAUUCAAAAAGAAUUUAAUAUUUCUCCAGCUGGGCAGGCUAAAGUUUAAAAUAUUCAACACUCAAGGCCUUGAAAUUAUACAGAAUAUACAGAUAAUGAAUCACACAGAAUAUAGAACAUAUGGUAAUUUAAAUCUUUGUCUAUAUCUACAGUGAUUGGAUUAGACUAAAUCUUAUUAUCUUUUCAAGUGUCGACAGUGUACACCUUUGCUUAUGCCUGCUUUGCCAACAAAGUCGACGUAAAUAUAAUCUCUAUAUUUUUCAUUUUUUUUUUUUUUUAUUAACCGAGAAUAGCGACCUUCGACUUAGCGUGAUACAUCACAGCGGAUGGUAUUGCGAUAAAUAACAUAACAAGAAAAUGACGAUGUUUGAAAUUAAGAUAAGUUAUCUGUCUCCUUAAAUUUCAGCGAGCGAUUUAUUUUAUCGAUGAAAAAUUACCGAACUCAUUAAAUUUUACCGUUAAACGAAUGAACGUUCGAUUUUUUAACUUCUGUCAACGAGUGCUGAUAAAUUCAUCGUACCGUGAAAGUACUUCACACGGAAUGUGAAGGUAUAUUGAAUUUAUGAAAAACGAACUAUUAAAAUUGCCAACCGCGUGGCCGAGCCUUUAUCGUGGUGAAGAUUAAUUGCUGUAAUCGAUGAACCGGAAACACAUAUGGACAAUAUCGAUUAGCCACAUGUAUAAACAUAAGGCACUAUAUCGGAAAAUCGAACGAAAACGUUGAAUUUUUAUCGAGCUUUAUAUCUUAUACAAACAAACUCGUUGUUAUCGAUCAAUUUUUUCCUCGGCGUAAAAUUCAAUUUACUCGAUCUCUUGUCCCUUCAUAAAUCGAUAGAAUUUUAUGAACGUCAAAUUCCGCGACGUUGUGUCAAUUUGUAUUUUUCAUAGCGUGAAAUUUAACGACUCUCAUGAAAUGUUUGAAAAACACGCUCUCGUUGAAGAAAGUAAUAUAAUAAUAUUUAUCACGCAAUUAAACCGUACUACUGAUAAUGAAACGUUUUGAAAGAUGAUCUCGCCGAUGAGAGUCAAAUAAAGUGUAGGCAAAGAAAAAUCCAACGAAAUCCAAAUAGGAUUGUCUCUCGUAACCCAUAAAAUCCCGGAUGAGUAAAACUCUUGCUAAUUUUGAGCUCUUCGUACUUUAUUUCUUAUCUCCAUCGAAAAGAGAAUAUCUUUACUCUUGCUAAUUUAUCACCGUAUUUAACUCUAUACUCUUCGCCGCAUGCCUAUGCAAUCAGCCACCAAUUGUUUUUCUAGUGAAAUUAAACACGUAUCGUUCGAACGCCAAUUCGCUCAGUAGUAUCGUUCUCUCAUGUCA
Long non-coding RNA from Frieseomelitta varia, 4179 nucleotides. RefSeq lists it as uncharacterized. The record is from RefSeq and is a predicted model, not a curated record. NCBI's taxonomy places the organism in Eukaryota, Metazoa, Arthropoda, Insecta, Hymenoptera, Apidae. The transcript is spliced from 7 exons.